GCUGGGCGUGGUGGUGCAUGUCUGUAAUACCAGUAAUUGGGAAGGCUGAGGCAGGAGGAUUGCAAAUUCAAAGCCAGUCUCAGCUACUCAGUGAGCCCCUCAGCAACUUAGCAAGACCCUGUCUCAA
This 127-nucleotide small RNA is filed under the name Marmota monax (woodchuck). Lineage: Eukaryota; Metazoa; Chordata; Mammalia; Rodentia; Sciuridae. The record is from RNAcentral.